This 253-nucleotide ribosomal RNA is filed under the name uncultured bacterium. RNAcentral describes it as "partial 16S ribosomal RNA". It matches the Rfam family "Bacterial small subunit ribosomal RNA", at positions 524 to 776 of the family's 1533-position model. The record is from RNAcentral.
UACGUAGGGGGCGAGCGUUGUCCGGAUUUAUUGGGCGUAAAGAGCUCGUAGGCGGUUUGUCGCGUCUGCCGUGAAAGUCCGGGGCUCAACUCCGGAUCUGCGGUGGGUACGGGCAGACUAGAGUGAUGUAGGGGAGACUGGAAUUCCUGGUGUAGCGGUGAAAUGCGCAGAUAUCAGGAGGAACACCGAUGGCGAAGGCAGGUCUCUGGGCAUUAACUGACGCUGAGGAGCGAAAGCAUGGGGAGCGAACAGG